RNAcentral lists this transfer RNA (76 nucleotides) under Candidatus Woesearchaeota archaeon CG10_big_fil_rev_8_21_14_0_10_34_12. Its description in RNAcentral is "tRNA-Met". It matches the Rfam family "tRNA". Rfam says of the family: Transfer RNA (tRNA) molecules are approximately 80 nucleotides in length. Their secondary structure includes four short double-helical elements and three loops (D, anti-codon, and T loops). The record is from RNAcentral. Lineage: Archaea; Nanobdellati; Candidatus Woesearchaeota.
AGCGAGAUGGAGCAGCCUGGUUAGCUCGCAGGGCCCAUAACCCUGAGGUCGGGUGGUUCAAAUCCCCCUCUCGCUA